This 94-nucleotide transfer RNA is filed under the name Acinetobacter baumannii. Its description in RNAcentral is "tRNA-Leu". The stretch from base 10 to 91 matches the Rfam family "tRNA". From Rfam's summary of the family: Transfer RNA (tRNA) molecules are approximately 80 nucleotides in length. Their secondary structure includes four short double-helical elements and three loops (D, anti-codon, and T loops). Lineage: Bacteria; Pseudomonadati; Pseudomonadota; Gammaproteobacteria; Moraxellales; Moraxellaceae. The record is from RNAcentral.
GGGGGCGUGGCGGGUNUGGCGAAAUUGGUAGACGCACUGGAUUUAGGUUCCAGCGCCGCAAGGUGUAAGAGUUCGAGUCUCUUCGCCCCCACCA